This 507-nucleotide ribosomal RNA is filed under the name uncultured Glomus. RNAcentral's name for it is "SSU rRNA". It matches the Rfam family "Eukaryotic small subunit ribosomal RNA", at positions 569 to 1081 of the family's 1831-position model. The record is from RNAcentral. Lineage: Eukaryota; Fungi; Glomeromycota; Glomeromycetes; Glomerales; Glomeraceae.
AGCAGCCGCGGUAAUUCCAGCUCCAAUAGCGUAUAUUAAAGUUGUUGCAGUUAAAAAGCUCGUAGUUGAAUUUCGGGAUCAAUAUAUUGGUCAUGCUUAGGUAUGUACUGGUAUUAUUGAUUUCUCCCUUCUGAAGAACCAUAAUGUCAUUAAUUUGAUGUCAUGGGGAAUCAGGACUGUUACUUUGAAAAAUUAGAGUGUUUAAAGCAGGCUUUCGCUUGAAUACAUUAGCAUGGAAUAAUGAAAUAGGACGUUUGAUUCUAUUUUGUUGGUUUCUAGGAUCGGCGUAAUGAUUAAUAGGGAUAGUUGGGGGCAUUAGUAUUCAAUUGUCAGAGGUGAAAUUCUUGGAUUUAUUGAAGACUAACUACUGCGAAAGCAUUUGCCAAGGAUGUUUUCAUUAAUCAAGAACGAAAGUUAGGGGAUCGAAGACGAUCAGAUACCGUCGUAGUCUUAACCAUAAACUAUGCCGACUAGGGAUCGGAUGAUGUAAUUUUUAAUGACUCAUUC